GUGGGGAAUCUUGCGCAAUGGGCGAAAGCCUGACGCAGCCAUGCCGCGUGAAUGAUGAAGGUCUUAGGAUUGUAAAAUUCUUUCACCGGGGACGAUAAUGACGGUACCCGGAGAAGAAGCUCCGGCUAACUCCGUGCCAGCAGCCGCGGUAAUACGAAGGGGGCUAGCGUUGCUCGGAAUUACUGGGCGUAAAGGGCGCGUAGGCGGACAGCUUAGUCAGAGGUGAAAGACCAGGGCUCAACCUUGGAAUUGCAUUUGAUACUGGCUGUCUUGAGUUUGGGAGAGGUGAGUGGAACUCCGAGUGUAGAGGUGAAAUUCGUAGAUAUUCGGAAGAACACCAGUGGCGAAGGCGACUCACUGGCCCGUUACUGACGCUGAGGCGCGAAAGCGUGGGGAGCAAACAGGAUUAGAAACCCGGGUAGUCC
This 425-nucleotide ribosomal RNA is filed under the name uncultured bacterium. Its description in RNAcentral is "partial 16S ribosomal RNA". It matches the Rfam family "Bacterial small subunit ribosomal RNA", at positions 354 to 796 of the family's 1533-position model. The record is from RNAcentral.